This 354-nucleotide long non-coding RNA is filed under the name Volvox carteri. RNAcentral describes it as "long non-coding RNA (VCAR_LNC001652)". Lineage: Eukaryota; Viridiplantae; Chlorophyta; Chlorophyceae; Chlamydomonadales; Volvocaceae. The record is from RNAcentral.
UGCCGCCGGUCUGUAAACUACUUUAGCAAAUCUGUUUGCUGACUUUUUCUAGGAUUUUGGGUUAAUAGCGGUAAGGCUGCUGCAGGCUCCGAACCGCCAGUUCCUUCGGCGGUCCCUGCCCUUUGCCGGAGGCUCUGUCAAGAGCUUCGUAGCACCCGUUCGGUGCUAGAACAGACUUCCAGAAAAAUUGACAGUUCGCUUUACUUGGGUACGCGGUCUGCCUGAUCUGGGUCAGGAUAGUUGGAAAUGGAGCAGUCUAGGCGAAGUCGUUGGGGAUUGCCCUCCGCUAUCAAUAUGACCAAUGGAACUGUCCCGCCGCCGCCUAUUGCCCGGAAUAACAGUAACCAAUUAAUA